UUACCAUCUUUGUUUCUUCUCUUAAAUACUUCUUCAUUAUGUUUUUUCCACACUCUGUUGUUCUUAUUCAGUCUCUUCUCCCGACUGCAUACUGUUGCAGUCAUCUGGUUAUUUUGAAACAUCGAUAACAUAGCACUACACAUUACGCAAUUUCUAAUAUAAGCUUUAUUUUAAAUGUCUACAUCCCUACAACCCUUUAGCAAUUUCUAUUCAAUUCCGAUUAUUUACUUUGGAAUUUAGGGCUGCCAAGUUAUGAAAACCUGUAAUCAGACUCUCCCAUCCUCUAGUCUUUCUUUUAGCCGAUGAAUAGACUCGCCAAAAUCUUCUUCUUCGGCGACGGCUUGAUCAUCGUCGACAACGGCAGCAACUGAUGAAUGCUUCUUCGACCUUUGCUUUUGGGUGUACACUUUGCUCGUUUUGUUCCAGAGUUCCUCUCGUUCUACUAACUUGCCGAAAUAUUUUCACCGGUGACAGCUUGACUAUGGUGAUGGCAAUGGUGGGUUCUUUGAAACUUGGCUUUCUGCGAUGGGAGUUCUUCGACAUUGGAUGUUGGGUACAGAUCAGAUGAGUUUUUCCGUCAAAUGUUUAUUUUUUUAAUUUGGGCCCGCUUGUACAAGUGGCAUCCACGUGGCGUCCAUGUAGGAUAACAACAGGCUGGAUUAUAGGGAAACCGGCCAAAGGGCAUUGUGUAUACUACUAAAGUAUAAUGAUAUACGGUAAAUUAUAAUGUCAUUGGCACAAUUACUAAAGACUAUAAUAGCAUGGGCAACAUUUUAU
This 777-nucleotide long non-coding RNA is filed under the name Linum usitatissimum (flax). RNAcentral describes it as "long non-coding RNA (LUSI_LNC004159)". The record is from RNAcentral. Lineage: Eukaryota; Viridiplantae; Streptophyta; Magnoliopsida; Malpighiales; Linaceae.